AGAGUUUGAUCCUGGCUCAGAUUGAACGCUGGCGGCAGGCCUAACACAUGCAAGUCGAGCGGUAGCACAGGAGAGCUUGCUCUCUGGGUGACGAGCGGCGGACGGGUGAGUAAUGUCUGGGAAACUGCCUGAUGGAGGGGGAUAACUACUGGAAACGGUAGCUAAUACCGCAUAACGUCUACGGACCAAAGUGGGGGACCUUCGGGCCUCACGCCAUCAGAUGUGCCCAGAUGGGAUUAGCUAGUAGGUGGGGUAAUGGCUCACCUAGGCGACGAUCCCUAGCUGGUCUGAGAGGAUGACCAGCCACACUGGAACUGAGACACGGUCCAGACUCCUACGGGAGGCAGCAGUGGGGAAUAUUGCACAAUGGGCGCAAGCCUGAUGCAGCCAUGCCGCGUGUGUGAAGAAGGCCUUAGGGUUGUAAAGCACUUUCAGCGAGGAGGAAGGGUAGUGUGUUAAUAGCACAUUGCAUUGACGUUACUCGCAGAAGAAGCACCGGCUAACUCCGUGCCAGCAGCCGCGGUAAUACGGAGGGUGCAAGCGUUAAUCGGAAUUACUGGGCGUAAAGCGCACGCAGGCGGUUUGUUAAGUCAGAUGUGAAAUCCCCGCGCUUAACGUGGGAACUGCAUUUGAAACUGGCAAGCUAGAGUCUUGUAGAGGGGGGUAGAAUUCCAGGUGUAGCGGUGAAAUGCGUAGAGAUCUGGAGGAAUACCGGUGGCGAAGGCGGCCCCCUGGACAAAGACUGACGCUCAGGUGCGAAAGCGUGGGGAGCAAACAGGAUUAGAUACCCUGGUAGUCCACGCUGUAAACGAUGUCGAUUUGGAGGUUGUGCCCUUGAGGCGUGGCUUCCGGAGCUAACGCGUUAAAUCGACCGCCUGGGGAGUACGGCCGCAAGGUUAAAACUCAAAUGAAUUGACGGGGGCCCGCACAAGCGGUGGAGCAUGUGGUUUAAUUCGAUGCAACGCGAAGAACCUUACCUACUCUUGACAUCCAGAGAAUUCGCUAGAGAUAGCUUAGUGCCUUCGGGAACUCUGAGACAGGUGCUGCAUGGCUGUCGUCAGCUCGUGUUGUGAAAUGUUGGGUUAAGUCCCGCAACGAGCGCAACCCUUAUCCUUUGUUGCCAGCGAUUCGGUCGGGAACUCAAAGGAGACUGCCGGUGAUAAACCGGAGGAAGGUGGGGAUGACGUCAAGUCAUCAUGGCCCUUACGAGUAGGGCUACACACGUGCUACAAUGGCGUAUACAAAGAGAAGCGAACUCGCGAGAGCAAGCGGACCUCAUAAAGUACGUCGUAGUCCGGAUUGGAGUCUGCAACUCGACUCCAUGAAGUCGGAAUCGCUAGUAAUCGUAGAUCAGAAUGCUACGGUGAAUACGUUCCCGGGCCUUGUACACACCGCCCGUCACACCAUGGGAGUGGGUUGCAAAAGAAGUAGGUAGCUUAACCUUCGGGAGGGCGCUUACCACUUUGUGAUUCAUGACUGGGGUGAAGUCGUAACAAGGUAACCGUAGGGGAACCUGCGGUUGGAUCACCUCCUU
RNAcentral lists this ribosomal RNA (1534 nucleotides) under Serratia plymuthica. RNAcentral describes it as "bacterial SSU rRNA". It matches the Rfam family "Bacterial small subunit ribosomal RNA". The record is from RNAcentral. Lineage: Bacteria; Pseudomonadati; Pseudomonadota; Gammaproteobacteria; Enterobacterales; Yersiniaceae.